Molecule: long non-coding RNA, 306 nt
Organism: Leopardus geoffroyi (Geoffroy's cat)
Lineage: Eukaryota; Metazoa; Chordata; Mammalia; Carnivora; Felidae
Exons: 3
Source: RefSeq, a predicted model, not a curated record
UUAAUGCUUUUAUUAAAACCAAAACAGAAAUCAGGACAAGGACAUCUCCUCUGCCAUUUCCUUUUGGAAAAAAAUUAUUAUCCUUUAAAUUGCUUCUAGAAGGCCUGACUGAACAGGGAGUUCAGUUGAAGUCCAUAAUAUUUAGAAGAUAAUUUGCUACUCAGUCUGGACCCUCAUAGUGAAUUACGUCUGCCUAUCAACUUUGCAAUUACAGACCCACAAUUUUAUCAACCCACCUAUGAAUGAAUGUACUCUCAAGAGAGAGAGAUUACAAGCAAGGGAGAGAAGCAGAGAGAGAGAGAGAGA